GGUCUUUUUUAGUGUAAUGUAUUCUUUCUCUUUGAGCCUUCGAACAUACUUGAAGUCUUUUAUCAGGGUAUUCCAAAAAAGUAGUUUCACCUGGGGUGAAUCUGUUUAGACAUUGUUUGCACUCUUUCUUAGCAUAGAUUUCUUCCCCCCACAAUCCACAGGUGAGUUUAGCAGUUGCCUCCAUGCAGCUCCUGCCGCUUUGGUCUUUAUUCUAGAAUCAGGUCUGCUGACAUUCAGUAAUCUGGGAAUAUCACAGAGCAGGCAGUCAACAGGAUUGUGUCAAUUACCUGUUCUAAAUUGGGGGUGGGUGGGUAGUCCAAGACCUCCCACCGUCUGCCUGGGUCUGGGUCCUAAUAAAAGUCUGCCAUCCAGCGUGUGUGCAGGCCGGGUUCCAGUCCGGCUCCCUCCCAGCAGUGAGCCUGACUUUGGUUCCGGUCUUGCAUGCGGUGCUUCCAGUACUCUCUACUCCAUAAGCCCUAACAGCCAGUAGCUUCUGUUUCUGCAGUGGAGCCCAGCAAGCUUUUGGCUUCAGCCCUGCCUCACUACUUUGCAUUUUUACUCCAUUGCUGGUCCACAGAAAUAUUCAUCUUGUUUUGGGGUCAGUGUGUUUUCCGUUUUCUGGCUUUUACCUUUUCUAGAUCACUGUUGUUUGGGGGCCAAAGUGGGCAUCACUUAACUGGAACACUGGUGCUCCACCUGGACUCCUCCACCUCCUCACCCUUCCCUCCUUCCCUUGCCCUAUCUCCCUUGAGUACCUCUUCUGCCCUCUUGUCCCCUACCUCUCUGGAAUCUUGCUCCCUUUCUCGCCCACAUUUCUCUUCUGAACCCCAGCUUGCAUCCGCCUCUCACACACUUGCAGGCACUCUGUGCCUGCGCCUGGCGACACCUGCAUGGACAUGGAGCCUUUCAUUCACUUACAUCCACUCCUAAUGGACCCUUUGUAUUCUGAACCCCUCAGUGGCGAGGACACCCAUACCCACAGCCCAUAUCCAUAGCUGUGCCACCCAACUGCUCUUAAGGCAACCAUAAUCACUUGGCAGCAAGCAGGGGAAAACAUUUAAAGACCUACAAGAACUUAGAAAAUUUACUGCCACUACAGGAAACAUGAGUAAAUAAUAAUACUGGGAGGAGUACAGGAUAAAUUGGGAUUUAUGUUCCUGGGAUGAGGAAAGCUCUCCUAGCCAUGACAAGAAAUCCAGGUUUCUUAAAAAUGAAAUCUGAGGAACAUUAAACUUUCAUGCAAUAUUAGAAAAAAAACCGAGUUUGUAAAGACAAACUAGGAAAACAUUCACCGAAGUCUAAUUUCCUUAAAAUAGCGGUGGCUUAAAAUCAUUAAGGAUUUGACAAUCCGAUAGUAAAACGAUGAGGCAAGAGCAGGCAACCCCAAAAGACAAAAGACAAAUACUCAGGAAACUGAACACUUGCCAAUCCUCACUAAAUACAAAACAACAAAAAACAAUGAUGUAAUUUCUUUUUGCUAUCCGGACUGGCAAAUUUGUAAAAAUUGAGAAUAUAGAGGAUUGGCAAGCAGGUAAGAACAUAGAGGUGUUUUUAGAUCACUGCAACAAUGUAAGUUGGUAAAAACUUUUCGGCAGGGGACAUUGGGAAGGUAUUAAAGUUUUAAAUGUCCCCACUCUCUGACCCAGCAACUGUACUUCCAGGAAUAGAUCCUCCAGCGACUUUCACAGGGCAGAGGUGAGCGAGGCUGGGCACUGUGGCACCGUGGGCAGCACAAUAGAGUGGAACCUUGCCAUGCCUGUCACUAGAGAAGCCAUGAAAUAAAUGCUGGGGCAGCUAAUGCUCAAUGACGCCAUCAUCCAAAGAGACGUAGAUCUGCGUGCUGCACGUGUCACAUGUCCAACAUACCGGACUCCUGGCUUCUGUGAACGUUCUCAUCUGCUGGGGGAAUCCAGCCUCUCCCAGAAAACAAAGUCAGCACCAACCCCAGCUGGACUCCCCGAACCAUCUGAGCGUCCCGUGCGGGAGCACUGCUCUCGCCAUCCGGAGCCUGGCGAACAGGCACAUUCUCUGCUCACCGCGGGCACACACGUUGGUGGUCACCAGCACCUUCUCUUUGCCCUCUCGGAAGCGCUCGAUCACCGCAGCCCUCUGCUCCACCAUCAUUUCGCCGCUCAGCAGAGCCACCUGGUGGCCUUCUUUGGAGAGCUCUGCUGCCAGCCAACUAGCCGUUUUGCGGGUCUGGAGUGAAAAGAAUGGUUUUAAAUGGAGAUACCUGUAAAAAUAAAAACAAAAACAAACCUGCAAAAAAGUGGCUUGUUUCCAUUAAAGUACGUGAAAGCCUGCUGAGUUCAGCCACCAGGGUAGGCUUACCAAUUUUACAAAGACAAUUUUAGCCAUGUGAAUUUUUUUUGGAUGAAUUACUUAAAUCAUCUUAGUGUUCAGCUAGGAAGAGUGUGGUAGGAGCCAAAUAUCUUCAUUCUCAAAUAGUCUAUAUUCUUAAUGUUAUAUAAUCAUUUCAUUGGAUGUUAUCUGGAGUUUUUCCCAAGGUAUGUCUAAGAGGUGGGACCAAAGAAAAGUUCAAUGCUUCACAGUCUUUCCCUCAUAACUCAUUAUAGUCUGAGGAGAAUAUGCCCUGGGGCAGGUGGAGGUGCUUCAUCAUCUCCUUUCUGGCCACACAGAGGACGCCCAGUCCUCCUCAGCACUGAGGUGGAGCUGGCUGAAGGGAGGGCCAGGCACACCCUCCAGUGGAGCUCCUCCCCCCGCAGGCCUGCUGCUGCCACUGCUACUCACGUGGCAGAAGAUCAUGGCCUGAGCAAUGGUGAUGGCCCCGUAGAGGUUACACAAGGCCUGGAACUUCUCAUCUCGGUUACUGCACAGGACGUAAUACUGCUUGAUGGUGUCCAACGUCUCCUCCUCACGCUUCAGUUUGAUAAUGUUUGGGUCUGGGACCACUUUCUGGGCAAAUUUCCAUACAGAGUCUUCAAAGGUGGCAGAGAAAA
This is a long non-coding RNA of Neofelis nebulosa (Clouded leopard), 2960 nucleotides long. RefSeq lists it as uncharacterized. The transcript is spliced from 2 exons. The record is from RefSeq and is a predicted model, not a curated record. NCBI's taxonomy places the organism in Eukaryota, Metazoa, Chordata, Mammalia, Carnivora, Felidae.